Molecule: transfer RNA, 75 nt
Rfam family: tRNA
About the family: Transfer RNA (tRNA) molecules are approximately 80 nucleotides in length.
GCUCCGGUCGUCUAGCCCGGUCAAGGAUACGAGCCUCUCGAGCUCGGGACGCGGGUUCAAAUCCCGCCCGGAGCA